Neofelis nebulosa (Clouded leopard) is the source of this 642-nucleotide long non-coding RNA. RefSeq lists it as uncharacterized. The record is from RefSeq and is a predicted model, not a curated record. NCBI's taxonomy places the organism in Eukaryota, Metazoa, Chordata, Mammalia, Carnivora, Felidae. The transcript is spliced from 5 exons.
UCCAAUUAAAACCAUUGUGCAUACACACCCAUACACGUACACACUCAAUCUUUUUUUUUCUUUUUUUCUUUUCAGGUGUGUUCCCUGACUCUCUUAGCUUCCUGGACACAAAAGCAAGUGGCAUGUGACAUAUGCUUUCUUCCAAGCCAUUGUCCAUGUUUAUAUAAUGUUUCACAACGUUGCAUCACAGUUCUGUUUGAAUCCUUGGAACCAAGGCAACAGGAAGAAUGAAUUCUGCUGAUCACCGCAAAGAGACAGAAGAGGCUUUGGCCAGAAAGUUCUUUUUUUAGUUACCAAAGCUCUGGAAUAUUCACCUGCUGGAGUAUUACAUGGAUGUCAAUCGUUCAACUGUGGCUGAGGUUUACAAGAAUAGGAGAUGGAUGUCACAACUUCUGGUUUAUAUGGUGACAGCACUUUUAAUAUAUAUUUGAGGAACCAUCCUUUUCUACACUCCAUGGAGCUAUUUUCCACAACUGACCUGCCAAGUCUCGGGGGGUGCAACACCCUGAAGAUGUCAAAGCCAGACCCAACCUCUACUCGGAAGACACUGAGGAACCUAUCUCUCUAGGUAUGUCAAUGAUGGAACAACCACUGACUCUGGAAUGCUAUCAGGACCCUAGAUUAUCGAAUGGCUGCGUCUGU